UUCACUCCACUCUCGAAGAAAGACCCUCGGGACGAAGAAGGACGACCUGCGAGCGGGACUGGAAGAUCGGAAGGUCGAGUCUUAUACGGAAGUGACGAUUGAGCGAUCUCAGUUUAUUUGUAUUUGAGGAAUUAUUCAUUCGUAAAUAGAUUACAAAAAACAAAAAAGAAAAAAUGAGGUCCCAGAUGCUCUCCCUCGUGAACUCCACCUACGCCCACUUCCUUCGCUCUCAGAGCCGGCUCUCCGGAAGGGCGUUCUCUCGCUCCAUCACCACCAAGUCGAAAACGAGAGGUCCCGCCUCGCCCUUGUACAGAGCCUCGAACUUGAGACGGAGGGUCACGUGAUCGAGUCGGAGUUCCCGGAUGUCCCUCUGCCGCAGUCGCCGCUCACGCCCGUCGUCUUCGAGGAGGUCGCCAAAUGGGGACACAAGACAGCCACAGAGUGCGGCUACACCGGCAGGAGCU
This is a non-coding RNA of Penaeus vannamei (Pacific white shrimp), 464 nucleotides long. Lineage: Eukaryota; Metazoa; Arthropoda; Malacostraca; Decapoda; Penaeidae. The record is from RefSeq and is a predicted model, not a curated record.